Acanthosepion pharaonis is the source of this 91-nucleotide non-coding RNA. The record is from the annotation of a GenBank genome assembly. NCBI's taxonomy places the organism in Eukaryota, Metazoa, Mollusca, Cephalopoda, Sepiida, Sepiidae.
GCCGGUCCCCGUACGAUUACCGAAGUUAAACAACGUCGAGCCUGGUCAGUACCUAGAUGGGUAACCGAUUGAGAAUAUCAGGCGCUGUAAG